Molecule: long non-coding RNA, 3236 nt
Organism: Hirundo rustica (Barn swallow)
Lineage: Eukaryota; Metazoa; Chordata; Aves; Passeriformes; Hirundinidae
Exons: 3
Source: RefSeq, a predicted model, not a curated record
GCCUGCAAGGUGAGCCGGCCACAGACAGGAAUCGGGUCUGUAGCACAACUUUUAGCAGAAAACUGCUCCACUUAGGCAUGAAAAAUGACUCUGUAAAACUAAACCAAUGAGCAAUGGAAACUGAACUUCAGCUUUUUGGGUUCCCACACUUCAUAAAAUAUAUCGGGGGUGGGGAGGGGCGUAAUGGUUUGAGAAUGAAGAAAUGCAUCUGAGAAUGAAGAAAUGCUUCCCAUCAGCCACUGCUUAUCAUGGAGGAUUUUCAGUGUGUGGUAUCUGUGCCUUGAGACAUCCACAUCAUCAGGCCAGCAGGCACUGUUGGUGGGACAGUGUCUACACUCAUUCUCUAGAUCCGUGAAUGCCUCAUAUGGUCAAGAAAGCAGAGAUUCUUCCUAACCGCGGACACCACGUAUAAUUUUUGCUCGUUGUGACUGUGACCAGAUGCUGGCACUCUGUGUGUGCCUGGAAAUCAGGCGCUCUCCUCUUCCCAGCCCUCCGAGAACCUCGGCCCUCUGACUCACAGUGAAGGGGAGGAGGGGGAAAAAGGAACGGAAAGAAAGCAAAGCAACUGCUCACAGGAUUUUAUUUCUCCUGGAUCUGGUGAAAGGGAAAGAGAACUUUGAGGCUGAAGACAAUGGAGAUCUAAUAGUGAUGCUGAAAUGCUAUUUCUCCUUGGAUUUUUCUCUUCCUCCUCUUCAGCAAGCCGGAGUCUGUGGUUUUGGUUUAAGCCACUGUUGGGAGGAGCUCCGAAAGCCAAACAACUGAAGGUAGAAAUAAAAGCCAGAGGUGAAGGUUUCUUUGGAAACCAAAGAAAUCUCUCUAGAUUUCAGCUCUCAAAGAUUUGCCAGCGCCGAAAGCACAAGAGGCAGGUUGCUCUCUGUGACGCUGUGUCCACAGAUAGCCCAAACACACACCUCUCUGGAAGUAAAGAAGAUCAGUAAAAGAUCAUCUCGUUUGAAACCCCCACUGUAAACCCCUUCCAAUAAAUUGUCCAUCCUGGUCUUGGACACUGCCAGGGGUCCAGGGGCAGCCACAGCUUCUCUGGGCACCCUGUGCCAGGGCCUCAGCAUCCCCACAGGGAAGGAUUUUUUUCCUAAUUUCAACUCUAAAGCUCCUCUCUUUCAGUGUGAAGCUGCUCACCCUGGUCCUAUUACUACACAUUCUUGUAAAUAGUCUCUCUCCUGUUGUGUUGUCUCUCCUCCAGACACCCCAAACCGUGAGCUGCUGAUCCUUCAGGUGUAAAUUGGAUUGGCACAAAACCCUGGUGCAGGCAGGCUACUCGUCUGUCAGCUCCAAGAAAAUUCCCAAGCACCAAAUCUCUGCUGCUAAGGGGUUUAAGGUCAAAGAGUCCAAAUCUAGAAAGGAAAUGAAAUUUGGAGCUCAGAUCCUUGACUGAAUUGGAGGUGAUAUCACCAUAACUGUGGUUUUCCACGCAGGGGGCUGCGAGGGAAGGGAGCGGUGUGAGGCACGAGGGGUGCGCAGGCAGACCUGGAGCACGGCCAGGGUUUGGAACGAGGCUGGGGGUCCUGCUGGCACCCCCCAUCGGCAGCACCACCCCCAGCCAAGCUCCCAGCUCUGUGCCAGCAGGCAGGACAGGCCCCACCACACUCCCCCCAUCCCAGACACCUGAACCGUCCUCCCCGUGGCUUCCCGAGGGUCCCAGGGGAGAUGCUGUCACGCCAGCCCUUGGAUCUCUGGAAUCCAGGUGGCACAGGCAGAUCCAGGGGAGUGGUGCCAGCUGCAGGCUGUGCACUGGGCUGUCAGCACCACCUCCAGACACGGAGUGCUCCAGGAAAGCUCCUGAGCACCGGCCAAGCAGGAUGGAGUCCAAGCUCUCAUCCACCGCCCGGAGCCCUUCGACACCGGGAAAGGGAGCUUGCCCUCCCUGAGCCAAAAAUGGAAAGGAUUAGCACAGUUUUCAUCCCCCAGAAGGAAGAGGAGACUGUUUUACCUCUGGAAAAUGGGCUGUAGUCACUGACUGCUUCCUAGGGGAUCACAGGGCAUGCCUUGCCCAGAAGUGCGAGUGGUUUUUGGUAGGGAUCCCCAGCCCAGCACUUCACGAAUAAUUUCCCAAGUGCAGGGAGCCAGCGCAGCAAUGCUACCCCCAGCGCUUUCAGGAGGUAACAUUUUGUCAGGAAGCACGGUGCUGGGGAAGCUGAUAACUUGUCCUGGGCUCUCCACAGCUCCCAGAAGAGGGGCUGCUCACAGCCCAGGCCCUGGAGGAGCGGCUGGCGGCACAGCAGCAGCCCCUCCCAAGGGCAUCUCCAGAGCUCAUUUCCUUGCUCCUUCCUCAGCCAUGCCUUUGUGCCACUCUGGGAUCACAGGUGCCCAGAGGGUGAGCUUGGGAGUCUGGCCAAAGUUCAAAGUGACAAAAUGACCUCUGCAAGCAGAAGGGAGGUUUCAGCUCCAGCAGCACACCCAGGAAUGGGGCAGGCAGAGAAUAUUUUCCCCUUUCCGUAGCUUGCUCUCUGCCCACAGCUUUUAUCAGUGGUUUUGGGGUUUUUUUAGAUAUCAGCUGUUUCAAAACCCGACCCUGAAGAAUUUCCCCCCAGUUUAAAAGCUACCCCAGAUUGCAGAAAUCUGAAGUUUGGCAGGGAAGCUGAGAGAAGUUCCUUGGAACAGCUUCCUUUGAAAGAUUUGGGAGUUCAAAGUUCCACAUCAAGGUUUCACAGUACAUUUUGCACCUUUUCUGUUUUAAGAGGCCCAUAAACGACCUGCCCAGGAGGAUUUCUCUGCACAAUAUCUGCACUGGGUGACCUGAGGUUUGUGCCUGUUUCUCACCCUUUGGGCAGAGAGAGCCAGGUUUGCCAGAUUUCCCUGGAAAGCGCUGUGACCAUACACAAGAACCUGCACCAAGGAGGUUUCCAGUGACAUUUUAAAUCUCACGUUCACAGCAACACCAACAAGAGCAGGUACAAGCUCCUGAAUUUCCAUGAAUGGGAAAAUCCUCAAAAAAGAAGCUCUAACCAACAGUCUUCAGAGAUCACAACAGCUCAGCUGCAAAGAAGAGAAGGUCUGGGGUCUCUUCUGCCUUGGGCUGGGGUUGGUUUAAUGCUGGGUUUUAGACUUGCCUGUAGACCUUGCGUAAUCAAAAAUAGAACUGUAAAUUCAUCAUCUGCUUUGUUCUGUGCAAGUAAUUCUCUAUUCACAGCUCACCCUCAUCCUGCAGAGCAACUCACAUGCUCUGGUUUGUUACGCCAGCAUAGUCUAAUUCCAGAGAUCACAAAAAUAAUAUUCCA